UUUUGUCGUUAUUCAGCGAUUGCAGUUGCAUUGCGUAUGCGAUAUAAUUUAAAUUAUUUGUCGUCAAUUGACGGAUCCAUUGUUUCAUUUAAUUAAGUAUUAGUCUGACUUCUGAGCAAGCGUACCAGUUUUUUAUAAUUUAAAUAUUGUCACUAGUGGAAAUUUUUCCACAAGACGAAAUAGGGUUGAACAUAAACCCUAUAUCCCGAUUUUCUUAUUUCGAUAUAAUUAAAAAAUAUCGAAAGUAACGGUCAGAAGUCAGAACUAUUAUCUCCCAGUCAGGAGCCUACAUUAUUGCCAUCUAUUAGCAUCCCUCCAAUCCGGAUGUACAUCUUGUAUAGCCAGAGGAAUUUCACAUGUUGAGAGGUUGGAGCUGUAAAGACAAAAGGUCAGAGAUACGUCCAAUCAUUAUCAUACUUAUCUUCACAAAACAAGCGCUGUCCAGCUAUCUGUUGAACUUUACCUAUGCACAUCAAAUUUUUGAAAAUCCAUUACCUACUUACCUCGAAUGCUUCCAUAAUUUCUUUUUCAUACUGCAUUGAUUUUAAUUAUUUUUGUACAUAAUACUAACAUGUAGUUUUAAGUUUUUUUUGUAAUACUAUUGUUAAUAAUUAUAAGGAAGCAUUUCGUUCAGUAGAGAAAAAAAAAGGAUUUCGUUUGUUUUUUUUUGUGUUCAUGAUUUUGUCAAAAAUGUCGUGACAAAUUUUUUGGGUAUUGGAUAUUACUGCAAAGAGAAUUUUUUUCUUGAUUACAAUGGCUCAAUUUCGGUGGCUAAUAUUACUUAUCAGUGGAAAUUAGCUUUGAACUGCGAAUGUAAAUACGUUUCUUGCUGAACUUUGUUACUGUUUAUUAUUCCGUGAAACUCCUCAGUAAGCACUUGCUCUAAAUUGUAGUCACAACAGUUUGUUAAUUUUCCACGAAUCCGAAAUCUUGGAAUCUACAACGAUCUAGGAGUUUUCUUAUGACAUUGAUAUUCUUCACGAUCAUUAACGUCGUAGCCUUACAAUUACAGUUUUAUAACAACAAAAAAUCGCAAAACAAAGCAUAUAUUGAG
This is a long non-coding RNA of Photinus pyralis (common eastern firefly), 1054 nucleotides long. RefSeq lists it as uncharacterized. The transcript is spliced from 3 exons. The record is from RefSeq and is a predicted model, not a curated record. Lineage: Eukaryota; Metazoa; Arthropoda; Insecta; Coleoptera; Lampyridae.